Lepisosteus oculatus (spotted gar) is the source of this 2160-nucleotide long non-coding RNA. Lineage: Eukaryota; Metazoa; Chordata; Actinopteri; Semionotiformes; Lepisosteidae. The record is from Ensembl.
UUAGAUUUCUACUUGGAAACUUUCACAAUUUACUUGGAUAACUAGAGUUGUGGAGGAUAACUGUAGCUUUAGAGCACAACAUUCUCAGAUGGCCUCAUUUUACUUUUCAUGGUUCAUUUGCUGUCUCAUCAGGAUUAAGUACAGGGAGGGAGAAAACGGACAGAUUGGAGAAACCUCUAUUUAGUGAUAAGUUGUCUACACUGAAAUAUGGACCUCGCAGAUUGACAGGGGGUCAGGAGACAGCAGACAAAACUGUGGGACCUGUGCCUCUAAAAAAGAAUGCUAUCACAAAUCCUUCCUGUUUGAGGAUCAGCAAUGCAAAGCCAGCAAGCCGCGCUCCGGGGGUGUCGGCCUGGAAGGACGCCCAGCGUCUGGUGAUGCAGAUCCUCGGACCCCCUCGACAGCACCCUGAAACACAGCGAGAAAACAGCGCCCCUCCCUGGACAAGAGACGCACAGUUCCCAUGUGGAAAAACGCAAGGGGUGAAGUUUCCAGGAGAACAAAAACGUAGCCCAUUUGAUGUCAUUUCCAAUGGAAAACUUUCGUCUCCCCCAAAUAGUCAAACGUUCGGUAGAGAAGGCCACACCCCUUCAGAAAAUCUCAACUCAAAGACCCUCUUGGAAAAGUGCCCCUCCCCUUCCGGCAGGACCUCUUCUAUCUCCAAGGAGAGACCAGCACCUCUAAAGAGUGUUCCCAAAUCAUCAAGCGCCUCCUCUUUACACACACGUCAUGGCAUCUCCAACAGCUCCUCCUCUCCCCAAGGAAGCACUUUUUCUGCUGGUCCCACCUCCCUCAGUAAUGACCCCCUCACCCCACUGACAACCCUGAGGAGCCCUGACUCUGCGUCACCCACCUCUGCCCUUUGUAGGAACCUAUCUGGUGGAAAGGAAAAUGUGGGCGUACGGCGCCCCGCGGUAUCCGGGAGCCGCAGGGCAGAGGAAGUGCAGGCCUUCAUGGGGCAGCAGGAGAGAGCGCGGAGGAGGAAGGCACAGCAGGAGAAACAGGAAGCUCUGAGAGAAAAGGAGAGGAGGAAGAAUAUGAUGCAGGAGGUACUGAGGAAGCAGCAGGAAGCCUUGCACAAGGCUCAAAGAAGCCACCACGAUCGUGGAGUAAAGGAGAGAAACAGGCCCACAAGCUCCUGCAAGAAAGAAGAGCCUGCUUCUUUGGGUCCAGGUGAGAGAGAGCAGAACAUGAAGAAAUCCGGAGAGCCACAGCAGAAAAGAAGACCUGCAGUGAAAAAGCUGAAGAUAAGGGGUCAGCCUAUGGAGGGAGGCAGCCCCCUGAAACUGGUAGACCUGGCCUCCUCCCCGAGGAAGGCACAGGCCAGGCGAGUGGAGGCCCUCAGACAGGCGGCGGCAGCCCUGGGCAGCCGGGUGGAGAUGCAGGCUGCGCUCCUCGGCGCAGGGAGCGGCCUGACAGGACGCCCAGUGGCAGAGCCCACUGGGCCCCUGAACAACAGGAGUCUCGCCUUGGCACUGGGAGGGACGUCGGCACAACCAAGAGACCGGGAUUCCACCUCCAUCAGCGAGGACCUGCCCUGGAGCGAAGAGGCCCCAGAGUGUAUAGCGGCACAGCCAGGUUUCCUUCAACAGACUGCUACUGUCAGAGGGGCAGAAAGUCGAGGGGAGAAAUCCACCGAAAAUGCAGGACCAGCAACACUCAGCAUCUGGAAGCCAUCAAGGACCCGAAAAGGAAGUCGCAGAUGGGAAGAGGUUAUUGACAAAAACCAAGCAGGAGCUCAUGCCAGGAGGGAAAAGGAUCAGAAGACCUCAGGUCCCCUGGGCAACAGUGCCAAGACCUCACAGGAAUGGGGGCAGGAUGGUGCACGUUCUUCUCAAGUGAUGGGUAACACCAGCCCUGAGUCCAGCAGCAGUGAGGCCCACACUGACUCCACUAGUAAGUGGAGUGAGGUGAGCCAGUUCUUUGGCUGUGGGGACAUGCUGAAUCGCCUGUCUCUGGAGCUAUCCCAGCAGUCCCUGCGCGAUGCGGAGCUCCGGGACCGUCAACAUGUUGCCCUCUUCAGGUUACGGGAGGAGGCGCUGAAAGAGAAGACACAAGCCGAGCUGGCCUGGCUGGAGCAUCAGAAAAUGUGAGUCUGGCUUCUGAAGUAUUGAUCUUGUUUAAAGGACAGGACUGGGGCUAACAUUGUAGAUUUUAUCU